UGGAUACACUUUGGGAACUCUCACACCCCACAGGGCUUGACCACUAGUGACAUGACCACUGACCCAACUGCCUUGGCACUCUGCAGCUAGAGUUCAAAUCUAGGGAUUUUGUAGCUUUGUCAGCUUGAGCGAGAUUUAUAACCGCCUCAGUUUAUCCCAAGACCUAGCUUAUGUAAACGUUAACUAUUCCUAAUAGUAUUACACCUUGAGGCCCAUUGGUAGAAAAAGGAUCAGUUCCCUAUUUAAUAAGAGCCUAUCAGGGCAGGUUGUGUAGUGAUGUCCACACCCGACUCUGUCCCUCAGAAGCUGUCCACGUUCUUCUGUGGCAGAUCUGAGGCUUUCUUUUUCUUUUGCCUUGAAAGGAAGAGGAGCACUCCUCACUUAAACUUGGGGAUUUCUAGCCAGGUAUCUGGGUGCUGGGAGACAGAACUGAGGCUCUCACCCUGCCUCUUUCAUUCUUACCGCCUGCUGUAUCCCUUCUUGCCCAGGGAGGACUGGUAGAGAAAGAGGGCUUCUGGGCUCCUGACAGCCCACUUUUGGCUGGGUACCACUCACCCUUUACAUUCCUAUAGUGUCUUCCGAGCUCCACAUCAUGGGCCGGUUUCCUUUGCCUAUUCUGACAUGUUGUGUCCUACAGUGUCCCAUUUGAGGCUCAGAUGCCUUGCUCGGUCCCCUAGGAUCCAGGACUGAUUUAAGGGCAGGAGCCUUUACAGAGAAUAUUACCCUGGACCAGAUUACCACCAUCUUUGUCCCAGCAACAUUUCUCUGUAAGUUUAUUCCCAUCCGUCUGUGUCCGGGAUGCAUUUGGAAAUGUUUAAAAAAAUUUUUUUUUCUUAAUGUUUUUAUUUAUUUUUGAGACAGAGAGAGACAGAGCAUGAGCAGGGAAGGGGCAGAGAGAGAGGGAGACACAGAAUCGGAAGCAGGCUCCAGGCUCCGAGCCAUCAGCACAGAGCCCGAUGCGGGGCUCGAACUCACAGACUGUGAGAUCAUGACCUGAGCCGAAGUUGGACGCUCAACCGACUGAGCCACCCAGGCGCCCCUGGAAAUGUUUUUUAAAAGUUUAUCUGUUGAAGGACCAAGACCGUUUGAUAUGUAGAGCUUCCUGCAGGCUGGAUUUUGCUGAUAUAUUCUCGUUGCAGAUAAAGGCAUGCAGAAAAGUUGAAAAGUUUUGCUGUUCUGAAUGUCCACGUACUCGCCAGUAUGGAUGGAUAGGUGUGACAGAGCCAGUAGAGCAAAAUGUUGACAACUGGGUCGUACGUUAGCAGGAAGAUUCUCAGGUCGGCUUUGGCUCUGCACUGUGAUCUUUUACAGUAGAAACCAAAGCCCCUUCUGGGGACAUGGUUCUUUCAGAACGUGAGUGAUGGUGGAAUCAGGCAGUGCUUAGAAGUGGCACGGCGGCCUUCAGUCACAUUUCAUCGCCCAAGGCAACAAACACAGCCAUGGGACCAGAUUGAGAUGCAGAACACUGCCACUUGUGAGCAUUACAUGUGUGUAAGCCUUCCAGUCCUCCAGUCUCCCCUGAGGAUAACUCUAUCCUGACCCCUAGCAUCACAGAUUACGUUUCCUAUUUGGUUUUUAAUGAAUGUCAUCACAUCGUCCGCACUCUUCCGCGUUUGGCUUCUUUUAUUCAACCUUGUGUCUGGGAUUCGUUUUUGGUGCCGGUUACAUUCCAGGAUGUGGCUGUGGUCUUCACAGAUUCAGAAUGGAAGGCACUGAGCUCUGAGCAGAGGAACCUGCACAAAGAAGUGAUGCUGGAGAAUUACAGGAAUCUGCUCUGUUGGCAGAACCAAAGACAGAAAUCUACCCCCAUGCCUCCUGCCUUCUAGCCGUCUCCUGCCAGCAAUUUCUCAGACAACAUGUGCCUCAGAUCUUUCUGGACUUCUGUAUAGGGCAUCAUUCCCAUCCAGGGGGUCCUGGCCCAGGGCAUCAAGAGCAGCAGUAUUCUGCUCAGAGCUGCUGCACUGGAGACACAGAAGGUCAUGGGAGGCAAGGUGACCUCCCUGGUGUGCGAGGACAGAGGAGACGGAGACUUCGGGCGCACUCCCCAGCCCGCCCCGAGAUCGGUCCGCAAGAACUAGAGAAGGCAACAUGGCGGGUCGAGAGAGGGCGCCCCCUCAGCCCUAGCCCAUGCGCAAACAGACAAAGGAGUGAAAAAAGCCACAAGAUCUGGAGCAGCCAGCUGUACGGAAUGUGAACUAGACCCACUAGAAUGCGAGUAGCCCCAAAUCAGACCUCGUUACAAAGCAGACGGCCCACUUCCAGGAGAAACCCGAUGUUUGCAGGGAGUGCGGGUAAGGCUUUAAAGUGAAGUCAACCCUCAUCAGACACCAUCGGACAUGCUCAGUGGAGAAGCUUUAUGUGUGCGGGGAGUGUGGGCGGAGCUUUAGAAAUAAGUCAGUCCUCAUUGGACAUCAGUGGACUCACUCUGGAGAAGCCUUACCUUUGCCGCGAACUCAUAAGGACAGAGACUGGCCACCGCAGACCACUACGUCACUCACCUCUAAGGGGCUUUCAGAAGUCUUGAUGAGAGGGAAGAUGGCACUCACAACUAGAGACCUGGGUUUUCCACUGUUUGUGGUCAGAUGGAAUAAAAACGUGGAAGGCUUUAUUUAAGUAAUCCAAGAACAGUCUCGUUUAAUUUUCAUACACUGAUUCUUUCCCAGGUCCUCUUGUCCUUUUGUUCUACUGAAAUCUUUGACACACUCAGGCUGUGUGCCUUAGUCUCUGAGCAAUCUGGAAAGGAAUUCAAGUCCACAACCUGGAUUUCCUGCAUGAAUUCAACCCUUGAGAAUAAAGAAGUCCCGAAUCAAUCCAAUAGAUUUGUAGGGAAAUCUGAGCCUUUGCAUGGGAGGACCACCUAGGUUCUGGAGACAUGCCAGCUGAAGGGAGGGCCCUCCCAGGUCUCUGGGGGACAGGUUGCCUCCUCUCCUAACUGGUCUCCUAACUGGAGAUCUCCUCACCAGAUCUCCCUCUGGUUUCUGUGACAGCUCCUUUCUCGGGAACGUUCCCUUCCUUCCUUCUUUCUGGUCUCUCUUCAGGUCCCUGCUGAAUCCUUCUCUACCCUCUGGAAGCACUUAAUGGUUCCUUAAUGGUUUGUUUAUGUCCUCCAGUUUUGGGGAUCCUUUAACCACAUUCCUUCUGUGGCCUUCCAGAUUCCAGGGUCAGGUCCUUUAACCACAUCCAACCUGUUCUCCAGCCAUGAAUCAUUGCUUUGGGUUGCUUAGCUAUUCCCCAUGUCAGUUCAUAUGUCUAAAGACCCCUAAGCAUGGCUUCAAUACUGUGUCCACUCAGCCCUCCAUUCCUCAGAGCCAGUCCUGCUAGUGACCCCACCAUCAUCCCUCUACUCACUGGUCAAAGACAGACAGCCUAGUCAUACACCUGCCCUUGUUUUUCAGCACUGAGAUUUCACAGCAUUUUUCCUAAUGGAAAUGUGCUAUAAUACCAUGCUAUGCUUUUUUUAUUUUCUCCUAAUAUGUAUGAUAUGUAUAAGGGAUAAAAAUCCAUGUUCUCCUUAUGUAAAGAUUAUUUUUGUCUAGCCCUGUAUCCUCGUCACUAAUUUCAAUCUAGAAAUUGUUUUGGAGAAUAGCCAAACACUCAGAAAUGGACCCACAAUGUAUGGCCAACUACUCUUUGACAAAGCAGGAAAGAAUAUCCGAUGGAAUAAAGACACUCUCUUCAGCAAGUGGUGCUGGGAAAACUGGACAGUGACAUGCAGAAAAAUGAACCUGGACCACUUUCUUACACCAGACACAAAAAUAAACUCAAAAUGGAUGAAAGACCUAAACGUAAGACAAGAAGCCAUCAAAAUCCUAGAGGAGAAAGCAGGCAAAAACCUGUUUGACCUUGGCCGCAGCAACUUCUUACUCAACACAUGUCUGGAGGCAAGGGAGACAAAAGCCAAAAUGAACUAUUGGGACUUCAUCAAAAUAAAAAGCUUCUGCAGAGCAAAGGAAACAAUCAGCAAAACUAAAAGGCAACCGACAGAAUGGGAGAAGAUAUUUGCAAAUGACAUGUCAGAUAAAGGGUUAGUAUCCAAAAUCUAUAAAGAACUCAUCAAACUCAACACCCAAAAACCAAACAAUCCAGGGAAGAAAUGGGCAAAAGACAUGAAUAGACACUUCUCCCGACACAUGAAAAGAUGCUCAACGUCACUCAUCAUCAGGGAAAUACAAAUCAAACCACAAUGAGAUACCAUGUCACACCUGUCAGAAUGGCUAACAUUAACAACUCAGGCAACAACAGAUGUUGGCGAGGAUGCAGAGAAAGAGGAUCUCUUUUGCACUGUAGGUGGGAAUGCAAACUGGUGCAGCCACUCUGGAAAACAGUAUGGAGGUUCCUCAAAAAAUUAAAAAUAGAACUACCCUACGACCCAGCAAUUGCACUACUAGGUAUUUAUCCAAACAAUACAGGUGUGCUGUUUUCAAGGGGCACAUGCACCCCAAUGUUUACAGCAGCACUAUCAACAAUAGCCAAAGUAUGGAAAGAGCCCAAAUGUCCAUCAAUGGAUGAAUGGAUAAAGAGGAUGUGGUAUAUAUAUAUACAAUGGAGUAUUACUCAGCAAUCAAAAAGAAUGAAAUCUUGCCAUUUGCAACUACGUGGAUGGAACUGGAGGGUAUUAUGCUAAGUGAAAUUAGUCAGUCAGAUAAAGACAAAUAUCAUAUGACUUCACUCAUAUGAGGACUUUAAGACACAGAACAGAUGAACAUAAGGGAAGGGAAGCAAAAAUAAUAUGAAAACAGGGAGGGGGACAAAACAUAAGAGACUCUUAAACAUGGAGAACAAACAGAGGGUUGUGGGGGCCUAAAUGAGUAAGGGGGCAUUGAGGAAUCUACUUCUGAAAUCAUUGUUGCACUAUAUACUAACUAACUUGGAUGGAAAUUAAAAAGCAAAUAAAUAUUAAAAAAUUUU
Molecule: long non-coding RNA, 4908 nt
Organism: Neofelis nebulosa (Clouded leopard)
Lineage: Eukaryota; Metazoa; Chordata; Mammalia; Carnivora; Felidae
Exons: 8
Source: RefSeq, a predicted model, not a curated record